UGUGUACCAUGCGAAACACACACAGUCCCAAACACAGAUAAUACAGAGACGUCAAAGAGAGUUUCACAUAUUUUAAAGAGAGAAGAGAGAUACGGUGGAAGGACCACCAUUCCAUUUCUGGUGGUGAACCCGGCUGCGCACGGCAGCGCCUCCCACUUCCGACGCAUAAACGACCGCCAUGGCGGCGGUGAGUUGUAGAGUUGUACUUCAGGUGAAGUCCGACCAGUCUCCGACAAAGAUCCGGCGAAUGAGUCUCUGGAGAUGGUGGAGUGGCAGCGGUAGACGACGCCGAACCGGCCUCUGCUCGGGUUUAUCAACGUUCAUUUUCUGUACUUAGCAUAUACUUUGGUUGCUAAAGUUAUAAAGGCAUGGAUAUCACCUCACUAGAAAAGUGUUACGAGCGUGUACCAGGAGUUCCAUGUGUAUGUGUGUGUCGAUCUGUUAGACCCGAUAGAAGAUAAAUGGGAUUUCUUCGUAUUGUAGGCAGUGGCGGAUCUUGCCCGUUGAACAUGCCAGGGCCGAAAGACACGGGCACUAAAAAAAGCCUGGACAAGCCCGGGCCAAACAUAGUAUAUAUAAAAGAUUUCGAUCGAAAUGCGGAAAAUUAGCACUACGGCCGAAAAACUUGCCCGGGCCGUGGCCCUGCCACGGCUCUUCUAAGAACCGCCCCUGAUUGUAGAAUGAUUCAGAAUUUGAUUGUCAUUUUUUCUGUAGAAUAAAGUUGCAACAAUCCAUGUGGAGCCUCAAAGAGCAGUGCAAUUUUUGGUUCAACUUAAGAGGGUUAGUUCUAUUAUUAUUCAAGCAAUCAUGCAUCAUAAAUAAUAUCCUCCAAAUGAUUUAAAUAUAA
Molecule: long non-coding RNA, 847 nt
Organism: Helianthus annuus (common sunflower)
Lineage: Eukaryota; Viridiplantae; Streptophyta; Magnoliopsida; Asterales; Asteraceae
Exons: 5
Source: RefSeq, a predicted model, not a curated record